RNAcentral lists this long non-coding RNA (569 nucleotides) under Homo sapiens (human). RNAcentral's name for it is "HSALNT0367071". The record is from RNAcentral. Lineage: Eukaryota; Metazoa; Chordata; Mammalia; Primates; Hominidae.
GUAACAUUUACAAUCCACUUCUAUGCAAGGCAGUCUUGUGCUAAAGAAUUGCUAAAAGAGACAGUGCCUUUUGAAUGCACCAUAUGUGUUAUUCAAAAGCAGUGGCAAGUCGAAGCUCCUAUCUUAAUCCUCGCUUGUUAUUAUGCUUUUUCUUUACAUGCUUGGAAAUUACCCUUGUUGUUUAAGGAAGCCUGGAUCCAACUUUUGAAGGAUAAGAGAUUUCACAGAUCAUUGAUUACAAAGGCAAUAGCCAACACCAACACCCCAGACAUGAGAGGGAUGCUACCUUCGAUGCAGCCUCCCUGCCCGGCCCCAGUCAAGCCACCGAUGACUGCUACUACCUGAGCAAGCCCAGGAGUGGGACUGGUGGCUCUGUAAGAAGAGGAGGAGGCACCUGAGCUGGCACACUCAGCUCCUUCACCAUGUGAUGCCCUGCACCACCUCAAGACUGCAGAGUCCUUACCAACAAGACGGCACUCACCAAAUGCAGCCCUUAGACCCUGGACUUCUCAGUCUUUUUAACUGUAAGAAAUAAAUUCCUUUUCUUUAUAAAUUACCCCAUGUUUCAG